AUGGGCGAAAGCCUGACGCAGCGACGCCGCGUGGGGGAUGAAGGUCUUCGGAUUGUAAACCCCUUUCGGGAGGGAAGAUGGGAUGGGGUAACCCAUUCGGACGGUACCUCCAGAAGCAGCCACGGCUAACUUCGUGCCAGCAGCCGCGGUAAUACGAAGGUGGCAAGCGUUGUUCGGAUUUACUGGGCGUACAGGGAGCGUAGGCGGUUGGAUAAGCCCUCCGUGAAAUCUCCAGGCUUAACCUGGAAAGUGCAGAGGGGACUGUUCAGCUAGAGGAUGGGAGAGGAGCGCGGAAUUCCCGGUGUAGCGGUGAAAUGCGUAGAGAUCGGGAGGAAGGCCGGUGGCGAAGGCGGCGCUCUGGAACAUUUCUGACGCUGAGGCUCGAAAGCGUGGGGAGCGAACAGGAUUAGAUACCCUGGUAGUCCACGCCUUAAACGAUGGAUACUAAGUGUCGGCGGGUUACCGCCGGUGCCGCAGCUAACGCAGUAAGUAUCCCGCCUGGGAAGUACG
RNAcentral lists this ribosomal RNA (510 nucleotides) under uncultured bacterium. RNAcentral's name for it is "bacterial SSU rRNA". It matches the Rfam family "Bacterial small subunit ribosomal RNA", at positions 371 to 884 of the family's 1533-position model. The record is from RNAcentral.